This 922-nucleotide ribosomal RNA is filed under the name uncultured bacterium. Its description in RNAcentral is "bacterial SSU rRNA". It matches the Rfam family "Bacterial small subunit ribosomal RNA", at positions 1 to 913 of the family's 1533-position model. The record is from RNAcentral. RNAcentral also lists the same sequence under 1 other name.
UGGAUCCAGACUUUGAUUAUGGCUCAGGAUGAACGCUAGCUACAGGCUUAACACAUGCAAGUCGAGGGGAAACGAUAGAGAAAGCUUGCUUUUUCUAGGCGUCGACCGGCGCACGGGUGAGUAACGCGUAUCCAACCUGCCCACCACUUGGGAAUAACCUUGCGAAAGUAAGACUAAUACCCAAUGAUAUCUCUAGAAGACAUCUGAAGGAGAUUAAAGAUUUAUCGGUGAUGGAUGGGGAUGCGUCUGAUUAGCUUGUUGGCGGGGUAACGGCCCACCAAGGCGACGAUCAGUAGGGGUUCUGAGAGGAAGGUCCCCCACAUUGGAACUGAGACACGGUCCAAACUCCUACGGGAGGCAGCAGUGAGGAAUAUUGGUCAAUGGGCGAGAGCCUGAACCAGCCGAGUAGCGUGCAGGAUGACGGCCCUAUGGGUUGUAAACUGCUUUUAUAAGGGAAUAAAGUGAGCCUCGUGAGGCUUUUUGCAUGUACCUUAUGAAUAAGGACCGGCUAAUUCCGUGCCAGCAGCCGCGGUAAUUCGGAAGGUCCGGGCGUUAUCCGGAUUUAUUGGGUUUAAAGGGAGCGUAGGCCGGAGAUUAAGCGUGUUGUGAAAUGUAGAUGCUCAACAUCUGCACUGCAGCGCGAACUGGUUUCCUUGAGUACGCACAAAGUGGGCGGAAUUCGUGGUGUAGCGGUGAAAUGCUUAGAUAUCACGAAGAACUCCGAUUGCGAAGGCAGCUCACUGGAGCGCAACUGACGCUGAAGCUCGAAAGUGCGGGUAUCGAACAGGAUUAGAUACCCUGGUAGUCCGCACGGUAAACGAUGGAUGCCCGCUGUUGGUCUGAAUAGGUCAGCGGCCAAGCGAAAGCAUUAAGCAUCCCACCUGGGGAGUACGCCGGCAACGGUGCAACUCAAAUGAAUUGA